RNAcentral lists this microRNA precursor (61 nucleotides) under Pristionchus pacificus. RNAcentral describes it as "mir-8364 microRNA precursor family". It matches the Rfam family "mir-8364 microRNA precursor family". The record is from Rfam by way of RNAcentral. Lineage: Eukaryota; Metazoa; Nematoda; Chromadorea; Rhabditida; Neodiplogasteridae.
UUUUCAUUCCACGUGCUCUCUCACUGGUCGGAGAGGCGAAAGAGUACGCGAAAUGAAGAGA